GACUUGAGAAAGAAAGAAAAGAAGAAGUUGGUUCUUCUUGGCCGUGAAUUGAAGGAGGAAGAAGAGGGGAAGUUCGGCCAAGGUGAUUCUUGGGAUUAAGUUCACGAGCUCAAGGAAUCAAUCUUGCAUAGCGGGAAGGCGAAUAUAAUUGAAUAGCCAUUUUGAAAUUGAUCAACAGUAUCCGAGAUCUCAUUUGGAAGCUACAGGCUCGGGGAUCGUCAGCAACUAGUCACACUAUCACUAUCCACUGUUUGGUACUGCUAUGUUUUGGAAUAUCUUAUGGCAUGUAUAGAAUAGACUAGUAGUGAGAGGAUAUUUGGUCAUGUACCCAUGGAUUUUGUGUAAAUUUGGAUAGCCAUGCGAAAAUGGCUUAUAUACGUUUUUAGCAUAGUACUAUAAUCGUGUUGUAUGUUGAUCAUUAAGAAGUAUGGAAGUGUUUGGAAA
This is a long non-coding RNA of Gossypium arboreum, 444 nucleotides long. RefSeq lists it as uncharacterized. The transcript is spliced from 3 exons. The record is from RefSeq and is a predicted model, not a curated record. Lineage: Eukaryota; Viridiplantae; Streptophyta; Magnoliopsida; Malvales; Malvaceae.